RNAcentral lists this ribosomal RNA (433 nucleotides) under uncultured bacterium. Its description in RNAcentral is "partial 16S ribosomal RNA". It matches the Rfam family "Bacterial small subunit ribosomal RNA", at positions 29 to 507 of the family's 1533-position model. The record is from RNAcentral.
AACGAACGCUGGCGGCAGGCCUAACACAUGCAAGUCGAGCGAGGACUUCGGUCAUAGCGGCGGACGGGUGUGUAACGCGUGGGAACGUGCCCUUUGCUUCGGAAUAGCCCUGGGACACUGGGAGUAAUACCGGAUGAGCCCUUUGGGGGAAAGAUUUAUCGGCGAAGGAUCGGCCCGCGUUGGAUUAGGUAGUUGGUGGGGUAAUGGCCUACCAAGCCGACGAUCCAUAGCUGGUUUGAGAGGAUGAUCAGCCACACUGGGACUGAGACACGGCCCAGACUCCUACGGGAGGCAGCAGUGGGGAAUCUUAGACAAUGGGGGAAACCCUGAUCUAGCCAUGCCGCGUGAGCGAUGAAGGCCUUAGGGUUGUAAAGCUCUUUCAGCUGGGAAGAUAAUGACGGUACCAGCAGAAGAAGCCCCGGCUAACUCCGUG